This 895-nucleotide ribosomal RNA is filed under the name uncultured archaeon. RNAcentral describes it as "bacterial SSU rRNA". It matches the Rfam family "Archaeal small subunit ribosomal RNA", at positions 21 to 924 of the family's 1478-position model. The record is from RNAcentral.
ACCUGACUGCUAUCGGAUUGGUACUAAGCCAUGUGAGUCAUUGUAGCAAUACAAGGCAUACGGCUCAGUAACACGUAGUCAAUCUGCCCUAUGGACGUGGAUAACCUCGGGAAACUGAGAAUAAUCCGCGAUAGAUCAUAAUGCCUGGAACGGUUUAUGGUCCAAAUGAUUCGUCGCCAUAGGAUGGGACUGCGGCCUAUCAGCUUGUUGGUGAGGUAAUGGCCCACCAAGGCUAUUACAGGUACGGGCUCUGAGAGGAGAAGCCCGGAGAUGGGUACUGAGACACGGACCCAGGCCCUAUGGGGCGCAGCAGGCGAGAAACCUUUGCAAUGUGCGCAAGCACGACAAGGUUAAUCCGAGUGUUUCCUGCUAAAGGAAUCUUUUGUUAGUUCUAAAACCACUGAUGAAUAAGGGGUGGGCAAGUUCUGGUGUCAGCCGCCGCGGUAAAACCAGCACCUCAAGUGGUCAGGAGGAUUAUUGGGCCUAAAGCAUCCGUAGCCGGUUCUGUAAGUUUCCGGUUAAAUCCACUAGCUCAACUAAUGGGCUGCCGGAAAUACUGCAGAACUAGGGAGUGGGAGAGGUAGACGGUACUCGGGAGGAAGGGGUAAAAUCCUUUGAUCUCUUGAUGACCACCUGUGGCGAAGGCGGUCUACCAGAACACGUUCGACGGUGAGGGAUGAAAGCUGGGGAGCAAACCGGAUUAGAUACCCGGGUAGUCCCAGCUGUAAACUAUGCAAACUCAGUGAUGCAUUGGCUUAUGGCCAAUGCAGUGCUGCAGGGAAGCCGUUAAGUUUGCCGCCUGGGAAGUACGUACGCAAGUAUGAAACUUAAAGGAAUUGGCGGGGGAGCACCACAAGGGUGAAGCCUGCGGUUCAAUUGGAGUCAACGCCGGAAA